GAAAGGAGGAAUCCGGUGGCGGCUGGGCAUGCGGCGCAUUAGCUUGACGGCGGGGUAACGGCCCACCGUGGCGACGAUGCGUAGGGGUUCUGAGAGGAAGGCCCCCCACACUGGAACUGAGACACGGUCCAGACUCCUACGGGAGGCAGCAGUGAGGAAUAUUGGUCAAUGGGCGGAAGCCUGAACCAGCCAAGUCGCGUGAGGGAAUAAGGCCCUACGGGUCGUAAACCUCUUUUGCCGGGGAGCAAGGGCCGGGACGAGUCCCGGUCCGGAGAGUACCCGGAGAAAAAGCAUCGGCUAACUCCGUGCCAGCAGCCGCGGUAAUACGGAGGAUGCGAGCGUUAUCCGGAUUUAUUGGGUUUAAAGGGUGCGUAGGCGGGCUUUUAAGUCAGCGGUAAAAAUUCGGGGCUCAACCCCGUCCGGCCGUUGAAACUGGGGGCCUUGAGUGGGCGAGAAGAAGGCGGAAUGCGUGGUGUAGCGGUGAAAUGCAUAGAUAUCACGCAGAACCCCGAUUGCGAAGGCAGCCUUCCGGCGCCCUACUGACGCUGAGGCACGAAAGUGCGGGGAUCGAACAGGAUUAGAUACCCUGGUAGUCCGCACAGUAAACGAUGGAUGCCAGCUGUCCGGGCCGAAUGGGGCCUGG
This 643-nucleotide ribosomal RNA is filed under the name uncultured bacterium. RNAcentral describes it as "bacterial SSU rRNA". It matches the Rfam family "Bacterial small subunit ribosomal RNA", at positions 202 to 842 of the family's 1533-position model. The record is from RNAcentral.